Rhipicephalus microplus (southern cattle tick) is the source of this 627-nucleotide long non-coding RNA. RefSeq lists it as uncharacterized. The record is from RefSeq and is a predicted model, not a curated record. NCBI's taxonomy places the organism in Eukaryota, Metazoa, Arthropoda, Arachnida, Ixodida, Ixodidae.
UCAAUGGACGUUCUUCACGUCGGCUACAUUCUCAUAGAAUGAUUUCGCAGUGAAUACAGCCAGGCACCGCUCGGAUUUUUAUAACAUCUGAUUCUUCUCGUCACUGGGAAUCCGAAGAGACCAUAUUCUAAGGUUCACCUAGCUAAUGAUGUGAUGCUCUCAAGGGCCGUCUCAAGGGCCGUCUCAACGGCCGUCUCAAGGGCCGUCUAGAGUCUGCUGAUGAGAAUUCCAAGGACUUCCAUUAGGUCAAGUGGUCUACUAUCACAAUUAGGUAGACAGAGGCCAGUACGGCACGCAUAGAAGCUUCACGGAAACUGUUGGAAUUGGUUUGCGGCAGAAGGCGGCCAGAAACCUGCACAACAGCAAUUGCCACCAUAAGAAGAUGAAGUAUAGAGAGGUGGCUCUCAGCAUGCCUCAAAUCCAUGGCUCAUCAUCUACCUGUCCGUGGCUAGCCUAGCCGAGCUGCAGUGCGAUCGAGCCAGCACCACUGCAAGCCUAGUAGGAGCGCACUUUUGGUGUUCUGUGCAAGACACAGCAUACCCGCCCGACUUGACAAUGGCGUAAAUAAUAAUUAUGAGUGCUGGUGGCAGCUGUAGGAACCCAUUAAAAUCUAUUGGCAGAGUGUGA